This 181-nucleotide small nucleolar RNA is filed under the name Homo sapiens (human). RNAcentral's name for it is "C/D snoRNA (SNORD3@L11)". The stretch from base 1 to 80 matches the Rfam family "Small nucleolar RNA U3". Lineage: Eukaryota; Metazoa; Chordata; Mammalia; Primates; Hominidae. The record is from RNAcentral.
AAGACUGUACUUUCAGGGAUCAUUUCUUUAGUUCAUUACUAGAUAAGUUUCUCUGAAUAUGUAGAGCGCUGAAUUAUAAUAAAUAGAUUUUAAAAUAAAUAAGUAAAUAAAUUCCAGUCACUGACUAGAUUUAGUUGCAAUCAGGAGAUCUUGUUUUUGGAAAGAAGGAAGGAAAGAAGGA